Molecule: long non-coding RNA, 97 nt
Organism: Amblyraja radiata (thorny skate)
Lineage: Eukaryota; Metazoa; Chordata; Chondrichthyes; Rajiformes; Rajidae
Exons: 3
Source: RefSeq, a predicted model, not a curated record
GUGAAAGAGCUAAUAGUCAAAUCUAAGAUGGAGUCGUUCUUCUAUAAAAGCAUGAUCUAGUAGACAAAAGAAUGGCUUGAAGUUAGUUAUUCAAUUG